This 210-nucleotide ribosomal RNA is filed under the name Pterapogon kauderni. Its description in RNAcentral is "partial 16S ribosomal RNA". Lineage: Eukaryota; Metazoa; Chordata; Actinopteri; Kurtiformes; Apogonidae. The record is from RNAcentral.
AGCCCACAAGCUAGCUCCUACCCCUAAAUUCAUCAACCCACUAUUCAUUAACCCCAAAAACCUCAAACGCCAACAAUCAAACCAUUUUUCCCCUCUAGUACGGGCGACAGAAAAGGACAUAAUGAAGCAAUAGAAAUAGUACCGCAAGGGAACGCUGAAAGAGAAAUGAAACAAACCAGUAAAGCAUAAAAAAGCAGAGGUUAAUCCUCG